Molecule: long non-coding RNA, 1188 nt
Organism: Malaya genurostris
Lineage: Eukaryota; Metazoa; Arthropoda; Insecta; Diptera; Culicidae
Exons: 3
Source: RefSeq, a predicted model, not a curated record
AGGGGUUAAAAAAACUGUCCAAUUUUCUGGCAGCGAUGCCAGGUGAAAUUUUAGGCGUCUGCGUAUUAUAAAUGGUCCUAUGCGACCUCAAUAUUUAGAAGUAUGACGAAAAAACCGAACGAAAACCCUACAGUAAUAGCAAAAGUCAUUAAAAUGGACGAUUGUUUAUAAAAAUUUCGAAAAUCUGCAAAAAAGUCGGCUUAAUUGCAAAGUCUGCUAACAAACGAAAUUGCAAAUUUACAUACCAAUCUGCAAACCUGGCAUCAGUGGUUCUGACGCUCAUUAUUUCGCAAUCCUGCGACGAUUCCGUCGCAUUCUAUGUCAAGCUGAAAACCACUAUACCAAUUGUCAAUAAACGGAUGUACUUUGUUAUUGUCACAUAAAGUUACAAUACAGCAGACAAUUUCGUAACACAUUUGAAAAAAAAAUGUAUAUUGUAACUUAUAUUGUGCAAUUUGGAAGGUCUUGCAGAAACAACAUCAAGCGAUUGAUGAAAACGACGAACAUCAUCCGAUUCCCGGAUUCAAAUCGCUCGAAUCCGACGAAAAAAAUAACAAUAUAUGGCAGGAAAAACUUCACCGAACAGAGCCUGGGAUCAACAGUUGCAACCAAGCAAUGCUGCUCCGUGUCUACGUUGAUAAUCAAUAUUUCACCAGGCUCAUCAUCAUUUGAUUUGAUGCAAAGAUAAAAUAGAAUUCAAUCAGACCCUGUCAGCUUGGACCGAAAUCAAUCUUCAGUUCAACAACGCCAUCGCACGGCAUCACAUUCAACAUAUCAUGUCAGUUGUAUGGGUGCGCAGCCCUGCUAUUUUGGCGCGCACGAAUUUGACAUUUCUCUCCCCUACUUCUAAGUAUGAGAUUCGAUGCGGACUCACCUGAGGGCGACAUGCUCGCAAAAAAGGAUGUUGCCAAUGAUUUGUUCGGGAAAUGUGAGAGCUGGAUAUCUUGUUAAUAUGAUGUCUUUGAUUCAAUGAAACUAUUUUGUUGUUCUUGUUCUAGAAUUCAAAUUCAUAAAACUUUUUAACAUUAGCUCAUGUUUUGCUGAUCUUCAGCAUUGUUGAAUCAACCACUGCCUUUAGUUUCGAAAUAACUAGAAGUGAAAUGUCAAAAAUACCAUGGCUCUGGUUAUAGCGAAAACCACAAUGUAAAUAAAGAUUCGGUCAUGGUUAGCCUAACCAUCUCAAUCGUA